GAUCGCUUCUUGCAGGCUUCCUUCCAAGUUUACUGAUUUACUUCCGUGCACUUUGAAUGUGUGGAGCUAGGUUUUGAUGUUUCUAGGAAUAACUCUAUACAAAACACGCCUUUACAAUAUUUGGUCUAGACAUUAAAAGUCGAACAAAUAGUCCCAAGGUAGGCUUUAGAAUGUUUUGCUACUUAGAGAGGGUGCCAUGGCACCCAUGGAACCUCCACGAGAUCCAGGUUUAUUUGCAUCAUCAUCAUGCAUUAAUAAAGAGCUCAUAAAAUAUUCACCAUCAAAUAACAUUUUUUUAACAAGGCAAAAGAUUUGCCAUUUUCAUUGACUAAGAAGAAGAGAAUUGGCCGGUUAAUUAGAGGAGAACCGGGCAAAAACCUAUAUUACAAACCCUACGCGGGGUACACGCAGAAGACCUGGCCACAUACAGGAUCACGGCACAACCAAU
Molecule: long non-coding RNA, 448 nt
Filed under: Hordeum vulgare
Lineage: Eukaryota; Viridiplantae; Streptophyta; Magnoliopsida; Poales; Poaceae
Description: long non-coding RNA (HVUL_LNC013197)
Source: RNAcentral